CGGAGGCGGUGGCGGAGGCGGCGGCGGCUCGGCAGGCGGGUUGAAGCUUCGGGGGGCCAGCCGCCGCCAUGAUCCUGCUGGAGGUGAACAACCGCAUCAUCGAGGAGACGCUCGCGCUCAAGUUCGAGAACGCGGCCUCCGGAAACAAACCAGAAGCUGUAGAAGUAACAUUUGCAGAUUUUGAUGGCGUCCUUUAUCAUAUUUCAAAUCCUAAUGGAGACAAAACAAAAGUGAUGGUCAGUAUUUCUUUGAAAUUCUACAAGGAACUUCAGGCACAUGGAGCUGAUGAGUUAUUAAAGAGAGUAUAUGGGAGUUUCUUGGUAAAUCCAGAACCAGGAUAUAAUGUUUCUUUGCUAUAUGACCUGGAAAAUCUACCUGCAUCCAAGGAUUCUAUUGUGCAUCAGGCUGGCAUGUUGAAGAGAAAUUGUUUUGCCUCUGUGUUUGAGAAAUACUUCCAAUUCCAAGAAGAGGGCAAAGAAGGAGAGAACAGAGCAGUUAUCCAUUAUAGGGAUGAUGAGACCAUGUAUGUGGAAUCUAAGAAAGACAGAGUCACAGUAGUCUUCAGCACGGUUUUUAAAGAUGACGACGAUGUGGUCAUCGGGAAGGUGUUCAUGCAGGAGUUCAAAGAAGGACGAAGAGCCAGCCACACAGCCCCCCAGGUCCUUUUCAGCCACAGGGAACCUCCUCUAGAGCUGAAAGACACAGAUGCUGCUGUGGGUGACAACAUUGGCUACAUCACCUUUGUGCUGUUCCCUCACCACACCAAUGCCACUGCUCGAGACAACACCAUCAACCUGAUCCACACGUUCCGGGACUAUCUGCAUUACCACAUUAAGUGCUCUAAGGCCUAUAUUCAUACACGAAUGCGAGCAAAAACAUCCGACUUCCUUAAGGUGCUCAACCGUGCACGCCCAGAUGCCGAGAAAAAAGAAAUGAAAACAAUCACGGGGAAGACUUUUUCAUCCCGCUAACUCUUGGGAACUGAGGAGGAAGCGCUGUUGACCGAAGGCUGGACUGCUUGCUACUGGAUAAUCGUAGCCCUUCAUGUUGCACCUUCUCCAGGUUCUUGAGGGAUUCUCCAUUUGGGUUCCAUUUUGUACGAGUUUGGCAAAUAACCUGCAGAAACAAGCUGUGCUUGCAAGGACUUGAUAGUUCCUAAGAAUUAAAAAAAAAAA
This is a non-coding RNA of Mus caroli (Ryukyu mouse), 1175 nucleotides long. The record is from RefSeq and is a predicted model, not a curated record. NCBI's taxonomy places the organism in Eukaryota, Metazoa, Chordata, Mammalia, Rodentia, Muridae.